CAGCCGCCGCGGUAAUUCGGAGGGCGCGAGCGUUGUCCGGAUUCACUGGGCGUAAAGCGGGUGUAGGCGGUCGGGUAAGUCGGACGUGAAAGCCCGGGGCUCAACCCCGGAAGGGCGUCCGAAACUGCUCGACUUGAGGGCGGGAGAGGGAGGUGGAAUUCCCGGUGUAGCGGUGGAAUGCGUAGAUAUCGGGAGGAACACCAGUGGCGAAGGCGGCCUCCUGGCCCGCUCCUGACGCUGAGACCCGAAAGCGUGGGGAGCAAACCGGAUUAGAUCCCCGGGUAGUCCACGCCGUAAACGGUGGGCACUAGGUGUGGGGGGUUAAUCCCUCCGUGCCGAAGCUAACGCAUUAAGUGCCCCGCCUGGGGAGUACGGCCGCAAGGUUGAAACUUAAAGGAAUUGGCGGG
This 407-nucleotide ribosomal RNA is filed under the name uncultured microorganism. RNAcentral's name for it is "bacterial SSU rRNA". It matches the Rfam family "Bacterial small subunit ribosomal RNA", at positions 509 to 917 of the family's 1533-position model. The record is from RNAcentral.